UCGGUUUAGUAUAUGGGUUAGUAUGUGGGAUUGUAGCUCCUACGGAGUGUGUUAUUUAUUCA
This 62-nucleotide transfer RNA is filed under the name Eurytrema pancreaticum. Its description in RNAcentral is "tRNA-Tyr". The record is from RNAcentral. Lineage: Eukaryota; Metazoa; Platyhelminthes; Trematoda; Plagiorchiida; Dicrocoeliidae.